This 442-nucleotide ribosomal RNA is filed under the name Scopimera intermedia. Its description in RNAcentral is "partial 12S small subunit ribosomal RNA". Lineage: Eukaryota; Metazoa; Arthropoda; Malacostraca; Decapoda; Dotillidae. The record is from RNAcentral.
AAGGGUAAAAUUGGGCUUUUAUAGGGUAUGAGGUAAUCUAAAUUGAAGCUGAGAAAUUCCCAUUAUAAACUAGGAUUAGGUACCCUAUUAUUUUGGAAGGUUUAUAAAACGCAAAUUAUUAAAAGAUAAAUACUUUAAAAUUAAAGAAUUUGGCGGUGAUUUAAUCUUAUCAGAGGAACUUGUUUUAUAAUCGAUACACCACGCAUUAUCUUACUUGAGUCUGUAUACCGUCAUUAUCAGGUAAUUCUAAAAAGAUAUAAUUUCUUAAUAUUAUUGAUGAUAUAAAUUAGAUCAAGGUGCAGCCGAUAGGCAAGUCAAAAUGAGUUACAAUAAUUCACAUUAUAACGGAUUAGUAAUUAUGAAGGAGGAUUUAAUUGUAUUUAAGUUUAAUAAGCUUAAAGGAAAUAAGCUCUAAAUCAUGUACAUAUCGCCCGUCGCUUCC